GAAACCGGGUGAUCUAGCCAUGGGCAGGUUGAAGGUUGAGUAACAUCAACUGGAGGACCGAACCGACUAAUGUUGAAAAAUUAGCGGAUGACUUGUGGCUAGGGGUGAAAGGCCAAUCAAACUCGGAGAUAGCUGGUUCUCCCCGAAAGCUAUUUAGGUAGCGCCUCGGACGAAUACUACUGGGGGUAGAGCACUGUUAAGGCUAGGGGGUCAUCCCGACUUACCAACCCUUUGCAAACUCCGAAUACCAGUAAGUACUAUCCGGGAGACACACGGCGGGUGCUAACGUCCGUCGUGGAGAGGGAAACAACCCAGACCGCCAGCUAAGGUCCCAAAGUAUUGCUAAGUGGGAAACGAUGUGGGAAGGCUCAGACAGCUAGGAUGUUGGCUUAGAAGCAGCCAUCAUUUAAAGAAAGCGUAAUAGCUCACUAGUCGAGUCGGCCUGCGCGGAAGAUGUAACGGGGCUAAGCAAUACACCGAAGCUGCGGCAAUAUCUUUUAGAUAUUGGGUAGGGGAGCGUUCUGUAAGCCGUUGAAGGUGAAUCGUAAGGUUUGCUGGAGGUAUCAGAAGUGCGAAUGCUGACAUGAGUAACGACAAAGGGGGUGAAAAACCUCCUCGCCGGAAGACCAAGGGUUCCUGUCCAACGUUAAUCGGGGCAGGGUGAGUCGACCCCUAAGGUGAGGCCGAAAGGCGUAAUCGAUGGGAAACGGGUUAAUAUUCCCGUACUUCUGACUAUUGCGAUGGGGGGACGGAGAAGGCUAGGUGGGCCAGGCGACGGUUGUCCUGGUUCAAGUGCGUAGGCUUGAGAGUUAGGUAAAUCCGGCUCUCUUUAAGGCUGAGACACGACGUCGAGCUGCUACGGCAGUGAAGUCAUUGAUGCCAUGCUUCCAGGAAAAGCCUCUAAGCUUCAGAUAGUUAGGAAUCGUACCCCAAACCGACACAGGUGGUCGGGUAGAGAAUACCAAGGCGCUUGAGAGAACUCGGGUGAAGGAACUAGGCAAAAUGGUACCGUAACUUCGGGAGAAGGUACGCUCUUGAUGGUGAAGUCCCUCGCGGAUGGAGCUGACGAGAGUCGCAGAUACCAGGUGGCUGCAACUGUUUAUUAAAAACACAGCACUGUGCAAAAUCGCAAGAUGACGUAUACGGUGUGACGCCUGCCCGGUGCCGGAAGGUUAAUUGAUGGGGUUAGCGCAAGCGAAGCUCUUGAUCGAAGCCCCGGUAAACGGCGGCCGUAACUAUAACGGUCCUAAGGUAGCGAAAUUCCUUGUCGGGUAAGUUCCGACCUGCACGAAUGGCGUAAUGAUGGCCACGCUGUCUCCACCCGAGACUCAGUGAAAUUGAAAUCGCUGUGAAGAUGCAGUGUACCCGCGGCUAGACGGAAAGACCCCGUGAACCUUUACUACAGCUUGGCACUGAACAUUGAACCUACAUGUGUAGGAUAGGUGGGAGGCUAUGAAGACGUGACGCCAGUUGCGUUGGAGCCGUCCUUGAAAUACCACCCUUGUAUGUUUGAUGUUCUAACUUAGACCCAUUAUCUGGGUUGAGGACAGUGCCUGGUGGGUAGUUUGACUGGGGCGGUCUCCUCCCAAAGAGUAACGGAGGAGCACGAAGGUGGGCUAAUCACGGUUGGACAUCGUGAGGUUAGUGCAAUGGCAUAAGCCCGCUUAACUGCGAGAAUGACGGUUCGAGCAGGUGCGAAAGCAGGUCAUAGUGAUCCGGUGGUUCUGUAUGGAAGGGCCAUCGCUCAACGGAUAAAAGGUACUCCGGGGAUAACAGGCUGAUACCGCCCAAGAGUUCAUAUCGACGGCGGUGUUUGGCACCUCGAUGUCGGCUCAUCACAUCCUGGGGCUGAAGUCGGUCCCAAGGGUAUGGCUGUUCGCCAUUUAAAGUGGUACGCGAGCUGGGUUUAGAACGUCGUGAGACAGUUCGGUCCCUAUCUGCCGUGGGCGUUGGAAGAUUGAAGGGGGCUGCUCCUAGUACGAGAGGACCGGAGUGGACGAACCUCUGGUGUUCGGGUUGUGUCGCCAGACGCAUUGCCCGGUAGCUAAGUUCGGAAUUGAUAAGCGCUGAAAGCAUCUAAGCGCGAAGCGAGC
This 2093-nucleotide ribosomal RNA is filed under the name Vibrio cholerae. RNAcentral's name for it is "partial 23S ribosomal RNA". It matches the Rfam family "Bacterial large subunit ribosomal RNA", at positions 717 to 2797 of the family's 2925-position model. Lineage: Bacteria; Pseudomonadati; Pseudomonadota; Gammaproteobacteria; Vibrionales; Vibrionaceae. The record is from RNAcentral.